Molecule: ribosomal RNA, 1538 nt
Filed under: uncultured Nucleariidae
Lineage: Eukaryota; Rotosphaerida; Nucleariidae
Description: SSU rRNA
Rfam family: Eukaryotic small subunit ribosomal RNA
Source: RNAcentral
UAUUUGAUAGUACCUUUACUACAUGGAUAACCGUGGUAAUUCUAGAGCUAAUACAUGCGAAAAAUCCCGACUUCUGGAAGGGAUGUAUUUAUUAGAUAAAAAACCAACCGGGGCAACCCGUCUUUAUUUGGUGAUUCAUAAUAACUUCUCGAAUCGUAUGACUUCUACGUUGACGAUGGUUCAUUCAAAUUUCUGCCCUAUCAACUUUCGAUGGUAAUGUAGUGGAUUACCAUGGUUGUAACGGGUAACGGAGAAUUAGGGUUCGGUUCCGGAGAGGGAGCAUGAGAAACGGCUACCACAUCUAAGGAAGGCAGCAGGCGCGCAAAUUACCCAAUCCCGACACGGGGAGGUAGUGACAAGAAAUAACAAUGCAGGGUCCUAAAAGGUCUUGCAAUUGGAAUGAGUACAAUUUAAACCCCUUAACGAGGAACAAUUGGAGGGCAAGUCUGGUGCCAGCAGCCGCGGUAAUUCCAGCUCCAAUAGCGUAUAUUAAUGUUGUUGCAGUUAAAAAGCUCGUAGUUGGAUUUUGGGCUUGUUCAGCCGGUCGCACCGCAAGGUGUGUCGUGGGUGGGGGGGGUUCGCCUCUCUCACUCCUACUGGUUGGGCUUGCCUCUUUUACCUCCUUCUAAAGACCCAGUGUGCUCUUUACCGGGUGUGCUGGGGAUUUAGGACUUUUACUUUGAAAAAAUUAGAGUGUUCAAAGCAGGCUCAUCUUCGCUUGAAUACAUUAGCAUGGAAUAAUGAAAUAGGACUUUGGUUCUAUUUUGUUGGCUUCUAGGACCGAAGUAAUGAUUAAUAGGGAUAGUUGGGGUGGUUAGUAUUUAAUUGUCAGAGGUGAAAUUCUUGGAUUUAUGAAAGACUAACUUCUGCGAAAGCAUUCCACAAGGAUGUUUUCAUUAAUCAAGAACGAAAGUUAGGGGAUCGAAGAUGAUCAGAUACCGUCGUAGUCUUAACCAUAAACUAUGCCGACUAGGGAUCGGUGGAUGUUAUUUUUCAUGACUCCAUCGGCACCUUACUGAGAAAUCAUAAGUCUUUGGGUUCCGGGGGGAGUAUGGUCGCAAGGCUGAAACUUAAAGGAAUUGACGGAAGGGCACCACCAGGAGUGGAGCCUGCGGCUUAAUUUGACUCAACACGGGGAAACUCACCAGGUCCAGACAUGGUAAGGAUUGACAGGUUGAGAGCUCUUUCUUGAUUCUAUGGGUGGUGGUGCAUGGCCGUUCUUAGUUGGUGGAGUGAUCUGUCUGGUUAAUUCCGAUAACGAACGAGACCUUAACCUGCUAAAUAGUAACGCGAACUCAGCCUGUGGGCUCUCGGGUCCAUAGGUGGUUCUGCGGCUAACUUCUUAGAGGGACUGUCGGUGUUUACCGACGGAAGUUUGAGGCAAUAACAGGUCUGUGAUGCCCUUAGAUGUCCUGGGCUGCACGCGCGCUACACUGAUGAAGUCAGCGAGUUUAUAUCUUGUUCGGAAGGACAUUUUUUUGGGUAAUCUUCUGAAACUUCAUCGUGCUGGGCAUAGAUCAUUGCAAUUAUUGAUCUUC